GCCCCGGUAGCCCGGGAGAAGCACCCACUCAGACCCUGAGCUGACCUCCAUCACACACCCAGGUGUGGAGGCUCCGGGCAAUCUGAGCCCCACCACCAUGGGCUCUUCCCUCGGGGCAGGGGACAGAGCCGCGCUGGGCCGCCUGGCCCUCCUCUGGGCCCUCGUGGCUCCAGGUAUCCAGCAGGACCUCAGGGUGCUGCAGCCGUCCGUGAUGGCGGGGCACGCGGGCAGAGCUGUCACCAUGUCCUGCCGGGUCAGUAGGUCUGUGGAUUACGUCCACUGGUUCCGCCAGCUGGAGGGCCAGGCCCCCGAGAGGCUUCUCUAUCUAGCCUUGUCCAAGCGGGAUGUGCAGUGGGAUUCGGUCCUAAGAGGUGAUAAAGUCAGCGCGGCCCGCGGCGCGGAUGACAAGAGCUGCACCAUGUCCCUGAUGAAGCUGGCGAAGAGCGACGAGGGCGUGUACUACUGCGCUGCCUGGAGUCUAAAGUUUUUGCCACAGGUUGAAUCACUGUGGAAUUUAGACAACAUGAUCUUUGGUGACGGAACAAAAGUUUUCGUCCUAGAUAAAAAACUUCCUGCAGAUACUUCCCCCAAACCCACAAUUUUUCUUCCUUCAAUUAAUGAAGUCAACCAUCAACAGGCUGCAACGUAUCUUUGUCUCCUGGAAAAAUUUUUCCCUGAUGUUAUUAAGGUUUCUUGGAAAGAAAAAAAUGGCAACAGGAUUCUGCCAUCCCAGCAGGGAAAUACCAUGAAGACCAAUGACACAUACAUGAAGCUCAGCUGGCUGACAGUGACAGAAAACUCCAUGAAGAAAGAGCACAUAUGUAUCGUCAAACAUGAGAAAAAUGCAGGAAGAAAAGAUCAAGAGAUUCUUUUUCCUGCAGUGAAAGAAGUUUUCACCCCAGUUGUCACUACUACUGAGCCUCCAAAUGAUUGUUCGAAAGAUGGAAGUGAAGUCACUGAUACUGAUUUUACAAAAGCUUGUGCAAGAGAUCAAGGUGAAGUCGCUAAUUCUACAAAAGCAUGUCUGAAAGAUGAAAACAACACCGUGCCGCUGCAGUUCACGUACAACUCUGCUUACUACACCUACCUCAUCCUCCUCCUCAAGAGUGCCGUCUACUUUGUCAUCACCUCCUUCUGUGUGCUUAGGAGAACAGGCAUCUGCUGUGACGGGACGAGCUCGUGACAGAGGGGACAACAAAGGAACCAAUCUUUUUUCUUCAUCUAUUGUCCCAGAAACUCUCUACUGAAGACCCAGCCGGGCUUGCUUUCUGGGUUUGGGUUAUUUCAGACGUUGUGUAUAACUUUCUAUCAUCGUGUAAGGGUUUUUCAGACUGUGCAGACAGUUUUCCUCUGUAACAAGGAAUUCUGCCAUUACUCAAAGGCACGGCCCAGGGCUCGUCCAGGGGAGCCUCUCCCACCACUGUCCCCACAAUCUCAUCAGCUCCUCCCCACCCCCAAGUCCUCAUGCCCCCCUAAGCACACACAGCGGGCAGUUCCCUGUUUGCUCCUCGAGCACCUCCACCAAGACCACGGCCCUGAUCUUCCCUGUCACACACCCUGGAGAUGCUGGCUUUGCUACUUGAAAUAAAUAAAUUUCUAAAAAGAAAUCAAAAGUC
Molecule: non-coding RNA, 1616 nt
Organism: Dama dama (fallow deer)
Lineage: Eukaryota; Metazoa; Chordata; Mammalia; Artiodactyla; Cervidae
Source: the annotation of a RefSeq genome assembly